RNAcentral lists this ribosomal RNA (466 nucleotides) under uncultured bacterium. RNAcentral's name for it is "bacterial SSU rRNA". It matches the Rfam family "Bacterial small subunit ribosomal RNA", at positions 30 to 521 of the family's 1533-position model. The record is from RNAcentral.
AUUGAACGCUGGCGGCAUGCUUUACACAUGCAAGUCGAACGGUAACAGGUUAAGCUGACGAGUGGCGAACGGGUGAGUAAUGCAUCGGAACGUGCCCGAUCGUGGGGGAUAACGCAGCGAAAGCUGCGCUAAUACCGCAUACGAUCUGAGGAUGAAAGCGGGGGACCGUAAGGCCUCGCGCGAUCGGAGCGGCCGAUGUCAGAUUAGGUAGUUGGUGGGGUAAAGGCUCACCAAGCCGACGAUCUGUAGCUGGUCUGAGAGGACGACCAGCCACACUGGGACUGAGACACGGCCCAGACUCCUACGGGAGGCAGCAGUGGGGAAUUUUGGACAAUGGGGGCAACCCUGAUCCAGCAAUGCCGCGUGAGUGAUGAAGGCCUUAGGGUCGUAAAGCUCUUUUACCAGGGAUGAUAAUGACAGUACCUGGAGAAUAAGCUCCGGCUAACUCCGUGCCAGCAGCCGCGGU